RNAcentral lists this unclassified non-coding RNA (186 nucleotides) under Basidiomycota sp. Its description in RNAcentral is "partial contains small subunit ribosomal RNA, internal transcribed spacer 1, and 5.8S ribosomal RNA". The stretch from base 1 to 47 matches the Rfam family "Eukaryotic small subunit ribosomal RNA", at positions 1785 to 1831 of the family's 1831-position model. Lineage: Eukaryota; Fungi; Basidiomycota. The record is from RNAcentral.
AAAGUCGUAACAAGGUUUCCGUAGGUGAACCUGCGGAAGGAUCAUUAAUGAUUAGCCCUCUGUGGCCCUAUCAAAUCCACAUACCUCUGUGAACUGUUGGCCUUCGGGUCAUUUACAAAACAUUGUGUAAUGAACGUACCAUAUAUAAACAUAAAACAACUUUCAACAACGGAUCUCUUGGCUCUC